This 475-nucleotide ribosomal RNA is filed under the name uncultured soil bacterium. RNAcentral describes it as "bacterial SSU rRNA". It matches the Rfam family "Bacterial small subunit ribosomal RNA", at positions 26 to 518 of the family's 1533-position model. The record is from RNAcentral.
AGGACGAACGCUGGCGGCGUGCUUAACACAUGCAAGUCGAGCGGUAAGGCCUUUCGGGGUACACGAGCGGCGAACGGGUGAGUAACACGUGGGUGAUCUGCCCUGCACUUCGGGAUAAGCCUGGGAAACUGGGUCUAAUACCGGAUAUGACCUCCUAUCGCAUGGUGGGUGGUGGAAAGAUUUAUCGGUGCAGGAUGGGCCCGCGGCCUAUCAGCUUGUUGGUGGGGUAAUGGCCUACCAAGGCGACGACGGGUAGCCGACCUGAGAGGGUGACCGGCCACACUGGGACUGAGACACGGCCCAGACUCCUACGGGAGGCAGCAGUGGGAAUAUUGCACAAUGGGCGAAAGCCUGAUGCAGCGACGCCGCGUGAGGAUGACGGCCUUCGGGUUGUAAACCUCUUUCAGACAGGACGAAGCGCAAGUGACGGUACCUGACAGAAGAAGCAACCGGCUAACUACGUGCCAGCAGCCGC